RNAcentral lists this long non-coding RNA (219 nucleotides) under Eucalyptus grandis. RNAcentral's name for it is "long non-coding RNA (EGRA_LNC005080)". Lineage: Eukaryota; Viridiplantae; Streptophyta; Magnoliopsida; Myrtales; Myrtaceae. The record is from RNAcentral.
AUUUUGAGAAUCAUGUCCAUAUCAUGAGGUUGCCUUUUUUCACUGUUUUGUAUCUUUAUUGGGAAACGGUGGUUACUGUCGUCCUGCGUUAUUAGUUUAGAUUAGAUGUUUUGGCAGCAACUUGAGAGCUAAAGGGUAAUUUCAUGAUGUUGAGAACAUUACUAGGUUUGUCAUAUUUAACAUUAUGGGAGGGGAUAAAAAGGUGAGAUCGUUCAACGG